GAUGAAGAACGUAGCGAAAUGCGAUACUUGGUGUGAAUUGCUGAAUCCCGUGAACCAUCAAGUUUUUGAACGCAAGUUGCGCCCGAAGCCAUUAGGCCGAGGGCACGCCUGCCUGGGUGUCACACAUUGUUGCCCCAAUGCCAAUCGCCUCACUUUGUAGGUAUUUGCUUGGGGUGAAUGUUGGCCUCCCGUGAGCUCUGUCUCACGGUUGGUUGAAAAUCGAGUGCAUGGUGUCGGGUGUACCAUGAUGGAUGGUGGUUGAGUGAUGCUCGAGGCCAAUCAUGGGUAACUCCACCAGAAUUGUGCUCGGUGACCCACAUGCGUCCCUUGGAUGCUCCCUAAGGAGACCUUAGGUCAGGCGGGGCUACCCGCUGAGUUUAAGCAUAUCAAUAGCGGAGGA
Molecule: unclassified non-coding RNA, 400 nt
Filed under: soil metagenome
Description: partial contains 5.8S ribosomal RNA, internal transcribed spacer 2, and large subunit ribosomal RNA
Rfam family: 5.8S ribosomal RNA (bases 1-122)
Source: RNAcentral